This 437-nucleotide ribosomal RNA is filed under the name uncultured bacterium. RNAcentral describes it as "bacterial SSU rRNA". It matches the Rfam family "Bacterial small subunit ribosomal RNA", at positions 28 to 478 of the family's 1533-position model. The record is from RNAcentral.
GACGAACGCUGGCGGCGCGCCUAACACAUGCAAGUCGAACGGAGCUUAGAGAGCUUGCUUUUUAAGCUUAGUGGCGAACGGGUGAGUAACGCGUGAGUAACCUGCCCUAGAGUGGGGGACAACAGUUGGAAACGACUGCUAAUACCGCAUAAGCCCACGGUGCCGCAUGACACUGAGGGAAAAGGAUUUAUUCGCUUUAGGAUGGACUCGCGUCCAAUUAGCUAGUUGGUGAGGUAACGGCCCACCAAGGCGACGAUUGGUAGCCGGACCGAGAGGUUGAACGGCCACAUUGGGACUGAGACACGGCCCAGACUCCUACGGGAGGCAGCAGUGGGGGAUAUUGCACAAUGGGGGAAACCCUGAUGCAGCGACGCCGCGUGGAGGAAGAAGGUUUUCGGAUUGUAAACUCCUGUCGUUAGGGACGAUAAUGACGGUAC